RNAcentral lists this ribosomal RNA (547 nucleotides) under uncultured bacterium. RNAcentral's name for it is "bacterial SSU rRNA". It matches the Rfam family "Bacterial small subunit ribosomal RNA", at positions 358 to 916 of the family's 1533-position model. The record is from RNAcentral.
GGAAUAUUGGGCAAUGGGCGAAAGCCUGACCCAGCGACGCCGCGUGAGGGAUGAAGGUCUUCGGAUUGUAAACCUCUUUCAGUAGGGAAGAAGCGAAAGUGACGGUACCUAAAGAAGAAGCACCGGCUAACUAUGUGCCAGCAGCCGCGGUAAUACAUAGGGUGCAAGCGUUGUCCGGAAUUAUUGGGCGUAAAGAGCUCGUAGGUCGUUUGUCGCGUCGAUUGUGAAAAUCUGAGGCUCAACCUCAGACCUGCAGUCGAUACGGGCAAACUAGAGUGUGGUAGGGGAGACUGGAAUUCCUGGUGUAGCGGUGGAAUGCGCAGAUAUCAGGAGGAACACCAAUGGCGAAGGCAGGUCUCUGGGCCAUAACUGACACUGAGGAGCGAAAGUGCGGGGAGCGAACAGGAUUGGAUACCCUGGUAGUCCGCACCGUAAACGGUGGGCACUAGUUGUGGGAACCUUCCACGGUUUCCGCGACGCAGCAAACGCAUUAAGUGCCCCGCCUGGGGAGUACGAUCGCAAGAUUAAAACUCAAAGGAAUUGACGG